RNAcentral lists this ribosomal RNA (253 nucleotides) under uncultured bacterium. RNAcentral describes it as "partial 16S ribosomal RNA". It matches the Rfam family "Bacterial small subunit ribosomal RNA", at positions 524 to 776 of the family's 1533-position model. The record is from RNAcentral.
UAUGUAGGGGGCAAGCGUUGUCCGGAAUCAUUGGGCGUAAAGCGCGUGUAGGCGGUUCGGUAAGUCGGCUGUGAAAGUCCAGGGCUCAACCCUGGGAUGCCGGUCGAUACUGCCGGACUAGAGUUCGGAAGAGGCGAGUGGAAUUCCCGUGUGUGAGCGGUGAAAUGCGCAGAUAUCGAGGAGACACAUGGCGAAGGCAGCUCGCUGGGACGGUACUGACGCUGAGGCGCGAAGAACGUGGGGAGCAAACAGG